GUACUCACUUUGGCAGCACAUAUACUAAAAUUGGAAUGAUACAGAGAAAAUUAACAUGGUCCCUGUGCAAGGAUGACAUGCAAAUUUGUGAAGCAUUCCAUAUUUAA
RNAcentral lists this small nuclear RNA (107 nucleotides) under Pteropus alecto (black flying fox). The record is from RNAcentral. Lineage: Eukaryota; Metazoa; Chordata; Mammalia; Chiroptera; Pteropodidae.